Molecule: long non-coding RNA, 723 nt
Organism: Ziziphus jujuba (common jujube)
Lineage: Eukaryota; Viridiplantae; Streptophyta; Magnoliopsida; Rosales; Rhamnaceae
Exons: 2
Source: RefSeq, a predicted model, not a curated record
AUACUCCCCAUGUACUAAACAAAUUAAAUAUCUACCUACUUCUUGUCACCAACUAAUCUCUUGGCUUUCUCUUCGUACAUGUGUAUAUAAAUAUUCCCAAACUUACCACAUCUUCAGCAUCCCUCAAACAAUCUUCAAAGAGAGCUAAUAUACCAGAGAAAGAGAGAAAGUAUUCAUGGCAUCCAAGAAGGCUGCUGUCAUGAUGGUGGCAGUGCUAGCUCUUCUGCUAGCUUUGUCUGCAACAGUUUCUGCUAGACCUGAUGUUCAUGUCUUGGAUCUUUUUGACCUACUAAGUGCCAAAAUCAUGUUUCACAGAACUUUGUGAGAGUGGUGCAUGGGAAGAAUAAAGGAAAUAACAUAGCAUGCUGUGAUGCUUGCUAUUGCACUAAAAGCUAUCCUCCACAAUGCAGAUGCGCAGACAUCUUCUCCGAUACAUCUCGAUGCAACGGCUGUGACGUUUGCAUCUGCGCGCUGAGCUAUCCCCCACAAUGCAGGUGUGUCGAUGUUACAGACUCUUGCAGCCCACCAUGCCCCGAUGAUGCAGCUUUCGUUCUGAAGAAUAAAGUUGCUACCAACUAAAUCGCCACUAUGUUAAGCACCAUAUGGGCUUGGCCAAUUGCCUCAAUGAGUACUGACGUUGAGGCUUUUAAAUAAAAUGUUAACCAAGUCUUUUCUAAAUAAAAAUGUUUGUGUUGGAAAUAAAAUUGGCUUUGAUUUCGUACA